This 440-nucleotide ribosomal RNA is filed under the name uncultured bacterium. RNAcentral's name for it is "partial 16S ribosomal RNA". It matches the Rfam family "Bacterial small subunit ribosomal RNA", at positions 338 to 795 of the family's 1533-position model. The record is from RNAcentral.
CCUACGAGAGGCAGCAGUGGGGAAUAUUGCACAAUGGGGGAAACCCUGAUGCAGCGACGCCGCGUGAGUGAAGAAGUAAUUCGUUAUGUAAAGCUCUAUCAGCAGGGAAGAAAAUGACGGUACCUGAGUAAGUAGCCCCGUCUAACUACGUGCAAGCAGCCGCGGUAAGACGUAGGGGGCAAGCGUGAUCCGGAUUGACUGGGGGUAAAGGGAGCGUAGACGGCAGUGCAAGUCUGGAGUGAAAGGCGGGGGCGCAACCGCCGGACUGCUGUGGAAACUGUACGGCUGGAGUGCAGGAGAGGGAAGUGGAAUUCCUAGUGUAGCGGUGAAAUGCGUAGAUAUUAGGAGGAACACCAGUGGCGAAGGCGGCUUACUGGACUGUAACUGACGUUGAGGCUCGAAAGCGUGGGGAGCAAACAGGAUUAGAUACCCGGGUAGUC